AACCUGAUUAUUAGUGUCGUCUGAGUACUAUAUAAUAGUUAAAACUUUCAACAACGGAUCUCUUGGUUCUGGCAUCGAUGAAGAACGCAGCGAAAUGCGAUAAGUAAUGUGAAUUGCAGAAUUCAGUGAAUCAUCGAAUCUUUGAACGCACAUUGCGCCCCGUGGUAUUCCGCGGGGCAUGCCUGUUCGAGCGUCAUU
RNAcentral lists this ribosomal RNA (198 nucleotides) under Zalerion sp. PB1-R5-A Fr. RNAcentral describes it as "5.8S ribosomal RNA". The stretch from base 43 to 196 matches the Rfam family "5.8S ribosomal RNA". From Rfam's summary of the family: 5.8S ribosomal RNA (5.8S rRNA) is a component of the large subunit of the eukaryotic ribosome. The record is from RNAcentral. Lineage: Eukaryota; Fungi; Ascomycota; Sordariomycetes; Lulworthiales; Lulworthiaceae.